UGGGGAAUAUUGGGCAAUGGGCGGCAAGCCUGACCCAGCAACGCCGCGUGAAGGAAGAAGGCCCUCGGGUUGUAAACUUCUUUUAUCAGGGACGAAUAGAUGACGGUACCUGAUGAAUAAGCCACGGCUAACUACGUGCC
RNAcentral lists this ribosomal RNA (140 nucleotides) under uncultured bacterium. RNAcentral describes it as "partial 16S ribosomal RNA". It matches the Rfam family "Bacterial small subunit ribosomal RNA", at positions 355 to 509 of the family's 1533-position model. The record is from RNAcentral.